This 253-nucleotide ribosomal RNA is filed under the name uncultured bacterium. RNAcentral's name for it is "partial 16S ribosomal RNA". It matches the Rfam family "Bacterial small subunit ribosomal RNA", at positions 524 to 776 of the family's 1533-position model. The record is from RNAcentral.
UACGGGGGGAGCAAGCGUUGUUCGGAAUUACUGGGCGUAAAGCGUGCGCAGGCGGUUCGCUAAGACCGAUGUGAAAUCCCCGGGCUUAACCUGGGAACUGCAUUGGUGACUGGCGGGCUAGAGUAUGGCAGAGGGGGGUAGAAUUCCACGUGUAGCAGUGAAAUGCGUAGAGAUGUGGAGGAAUACCGAUGGCGAAGGCAGCCCCCUGGGCCAAUACUGACGCUCAUGCACGAAAGCGUGGGGAGCAAACAGG